Molecule: ribosomal RNA, 231 nt
Filed under: Clostridioides difficile
Lineage: Bacteria; Bacillati; Bacillota; Clostridia; Peptostreptococcales; Peptostreptococcaceae
Description: partial 23S ribosomal RNA
Rfam family: Bacterial large subunit ribosomal RNA
Source: RNAcentral
CCCCAGUAAACGGCGGCCGUAACUAUAACGGUCCUAAGGUAGCGAAAUUCCUUGUCGGGUAAGUUCCGACCCGCACGAAAGGCGUAACGAUUUGGGCACUGUCUCAACAACAGACUCGGUGAAAUUGGAAUUCCGGUGAAGAUGCCGGAUACCUGCGACAGGACGGAAAGACCCCAUGGAGCUUUACUGUAGCUUGACAUUGGGUCUUGGUACUACAUGUACAGGAUAGGU